CUCUCUGUACGGGAAGGAUGAGAAGCUUCGACUAAGGUUCGAUUCGAGCGAAAGCGAGAAAGCGUUGCCGCAGGCAACGACCCGAAGGGCGAAACGCGCAGCGCUGAGUCAUCCUUCCCCCACCACCA
Molecule: small RNA, 128 nt
Filed under: Salmonella enterica
Lineage: Bacteria; Pseudomonadati; Pseudomonadota; Gammaproteobacteria; Enterobacterales; Enterobacteriaceae
Also listed under: 1 other name
Description: partial RtT sRNA
Rfam family: RtT RNA
About the family: This family represents a bacterial cis-regulatory element known as RtT RNA.
Source: RNAcentral